GGGGUCGUCCAUGGUUUCGACAGAAAUAAACAGGAUUAGAAUUGCAAGUCGAACGUCCACGUUAAGGACACAAAAUAAUAACUGGAAACAGUAAUAGAACAGCUGUAGCAUUUGCUUAAUUUAGCAAGCACAGGUUUCUCUAUUUCUUUGCUUACGAGAAAUAACAGAAACUUAUAAAGUAAGCUAUACUAUAUAGUAUCCUAGCCUAUAUAAAGAAUUUCAUAGGAUAGUAAAUAUUAGCACUUGUUAGUUUUGAUAAUAUUUAUGAAACUAAAAAACUAACUAAACUUGUAGAUAUUCAAAUUACUAUAUUUUUGGACAGGGGUUCGAUUCCCCUCGACUCCACCA
Molecule: transfer-messenger RNA, 348 nt
Filed under: pig gut metagenome
Rfam family: transfer-messenger RNA
About the family: Bacterial tmRNA, also known as 10Sa RNA or SsrA, is named for its dual tRNA and mRNA-like properties. Its role is to liberate the mRNA from a stalled ribosome.
Source: RNAcentral